This 1431-nucleotide ribosomal RNA is filed under the name metagenome. RNAcentral's name for it is "bacterial SSU rRNA". It matches the Rfam family "Bacterial small subunit ribosomal RNA". The record is from RNAcentral.
AGGGUUUGAUCCUGGCUCAGAGCGAACGCUGGCGGCGUGGAUGAGGCAUGCAAGUCGAACGAGAAAGCGGGGGUAACUCCGCGAGUAAAGUGGCGAAAGGGUCAGUAAUGCAUGGGUAAUCUGCCCUCCGGACUGGGACAACUCGCCGAAAGGCGGGCUAAUACCAGAUGACGUCAUUGAGGGGCAUCUCUCGAUGACCAAAGUUAGGGACCGCAAGGCCUGACACCGGUGGAGGAGCUCAUGUCCUAUCAGCUAGUUGGUGAGGUAACGGCCCACCAAGGCUUACGGGUAGCCGGACUGAGAGGUCGAUCGGCGACACUGGGACUGUGACACUGCCCAGACUCCUACGGGAGGCUGCAGUCGAGAAUCUUUAGCAAUGGGCGAAAGCCUGACUAUGCGACGCCGCGUGUGGGAUGAAGGCCCUCGGGUUGUAAACCACUGUCAGGGGUUAAGAAAGGGCCGGUGCGAAUAUCACCGGCCUUUGACGAAGGCCCCAGAGGAAGCCACGGCUAACUCCGUGCCAGCAGCCGCGGUAAUACGGAGGUGGCGAGCGUUGCUCGGACUUACUGGGCAUAAAGGGCGCGUAGGCGGUUCGACCAGUCAGGUGUGAAAUCCCUCGGCUCAACCGAGGAAUGGCGCUUGAUACUAUCGAGCUGGAGUGCAGGAAGGGAGAAUGGAAUUCCCGGUGUAGCGGUGAAAUGCGUAGAUAUCGGGAAGAACGCCGGCGGCGAAAGCGGUUCUCUGGCCUGUAACUGACGCUGAGGCGCGAAAGCUAGGGGAGCAAACAGGAUUAGAUACCCUGGUAGUCCUAGCCGUAAACGAUGUGCACUAAGUAUGGGCCCCUCCCAUGGGGUCCGUGCCGAAGGAAAUCUAUUAAGUGCACCGCCUGGGGACUAUGACCGCAAGGUUAAAACUCAAAGGAAUUGACGGGGGCUCGCACAAGCGGUGGAGUAUGUGGCUUAAUUCGAAGCAACGCGAAGAACCUUACCAGGGCUUGACAUGCUGGUAGUAGGAGCCUGAAAGGGCAACGAUUCCCGCAAGGGAAAGCCAGCACAGGUGUUGCAUGGCUGUCGUCAGCUCGUGUCGUGAGAUGUUGGGUUAAGUCCCCUAACGAGCGAAACCCUUGCCGUUAGUUGCCAACGCGUCAUGGCGGGCACUCUAGCAGGACUGCCGUUGUAAAACGGAGGAAGGUGGGGACGACGUCAAGUCAUCAUGGCCCUUAUGUCCUGGGCUGCACACGUACUACAAUGGCCAGUAUAGAGGGAUGCAAAGCCGCGAGGUGAAGCAAAUCCCAAAAAAACUGGCCCCAGUUCAGAUCGCAGGCUGCAAUUCGUCUGCGUGAAGUCGGAAUCGCUAGUAAUCGCGGAUCAGCUACGCCGCGGUGAAUAUGUUCCCGAGCCUUGUACACACCGCCCGUCAAGCCACGAAAGC